Molecule: RNA transcript, 712 nt
Organism: Mandrillus leucophaeus (drill)
Lineage: Eukaryota; Metazoa; Chordata; Mammalia; Primates; Cercopithecidae
Gene name: 40S ribosomal protein S2 pseudogene
Exons: 1
Source: RefSeq, a predicted model, not a curated record
GUCACCAAGCUGGGCCGCCUGGUGGAGGACAUGAAGUCCCUGGAGGAGAUCUAUGUAUUCCCCUGCCCAUUAAGGAAUCUGAGAUCAUUGACUUUUUCCUAGGGGCCUCUCUCAAGGACGAGGUUUUGAAGAUUAUACCCGUCCAGAAGCAGACCCAUGCCGGCCAGCGCACCAGGUUCAAGGCAUUUGUUGCCAUCGGGGACUACAAUGGACACAGCGGUCUGGGUGUUAAGUGCUCCAAGGAGGUGGCCACUGCCAUCCGCGGGGCCAUCAUCCUGGCCAAGCUCUCCAUCGUCCCCAUGCGCAGAGGCUGCUGGGGGAACAAGAUUGGCAAGUCCCACACCGUCCCUUGCAAGGUGACAGGCCGCUGCGGCUCCGUGCUGGUGCACCUCAUCUCUGCACCCACGGGCACUGGCAUCGUCUCGGCGCUUGUGCUCAAGAAGCUGCUCAUGAUGGCUGGUAUAGAUGACUGCUACACCUCAGCCCGGGGCUGCACUGCCACCCUGGGCAACUUUGCCAAGGCCACCUUUGAUGCCAUCUCUAAGACCUACAGCUACCUGACCCCCGACCUCUGGAAGGAGACUGUGUUCACUAAGUCUCCCUAUCAGGAAUUCACUGACCACCUCGUCACGACCCACACCAGAGUCUCGCUGCAACCAAGCUGUGGCUACAACAUAGGGUUUUUAUACAAGAAAAAUAAAGUGAAUUAAGC